AUAUGAUAUAUAAACCCAAAUGGUUUCGUCCAAUAAAAAUAUUAAAAAUGUGUUAUUAUUCAGUAUUAUUUUUUUCAUUAUUAUUCAAGUUUUAAAUCUCUAGAUCAGGCGUGUCAAAUUAGGCCAACGAAAAGGUUUUACCCCCCGUUUGCUAAGUAUAAAAAAUGAGCCGGAAUUUUUGAAUGAAAGAAACUGCUGUUCUAAAUGUGUCCACUAGAUGUCACAAUAUCAAUUCUUGGUACACUAAAUGGUCCCUAGUGUGUGAAUGUGAGUGUGAAUGUUGUCGGUCUAUCUGUGUUGGCCCUGUGAUGAGGUGGCGACUUGUCCAGGGUGUACCAUGCCUUCCGCCCGAUUGUAGCUGAGAUAGGCACCAACGCCUCCCGCGGCCCCAAAGGGGAAUAAGCGGUAAAAAAUGGAUGGAUGGAUGGAUGUUAGUGCACCAGUCGAGGAAAAUAAUCAAACUGUUGUCUGUCUAUCUGGGUUGGCCCUGCGAUGAGGUGGCGACUUGUCCAGGGUGUACCCCGCCUUCCGCCCGAUUGUAGCUGAGAUAGGCACCAGCGACCCCAAAGGGGAAUAAGCGGUAGGAAAUGGAUGGAUGGAUGGAUGUUAGUGCACCAGUCGAGGAAAAUAAUCAAACUGUUGUCUGUCUCUCUGUGUUGGCCCUGCGAUGAGGUGGCGACUUGUCCAGGGUGUACCAUGCCUUCCCCCCGAUUGUAGCUGAGAUAGGCACCAGCGCCCCCAAAGGGGAAUAAGCGGUAAAAAAUGGAUGGAUGGAUGGAUGUUAGUGCACCAGUCGAGGAAAAUAAUCAAACUGUUGUCUGUCUAUCUGGGUUGGCCCUGCGAUGAGGUGGCGACUUGUCCAGGGUGUACCCCGCCUUCCGCCCGAUUGUAGCUGAGAUAGGCACCAGCGACCCCAAAGGGGAAUAAGCGGUAGGAAAUGGAUGGAUGGAUGGAUGUUAGUGCACCAGUCGAGGAAAAUAAUCAAACUGUUGUCUGUCUCUCUGUGUUGGCCCUGCGAUGAGGUGGCGACUUGUCCAGGGUGUACCAUGCCUUCCCCCCGAUUGUAGCUGAGAUAGGCACCAGCGACCCCAAAGGGGAAUACGCGGUAGGAAAUGGAUGGAUGGAUGGAUGUUAGUGCACCAGUCGAGGAAAAUAAUCAAACUGUUGUCUGUCUCUCUGUGUUGGCCCUGUGAUGAGGUGGCGACUUGUCCAGGGUGUACCCCGCCUUCCGCCCGAUUGUAGCUGAGAUAGGCACCAGCGCCCCCCGCGACCCCAAAGGGGAAUAAGCGGUAGGAAAUGGAUGGAUGGAUGGAUGUUAGUGCACCAGUCGAGGAAAAUAAUCAAACUGUUGUCUUUCUCUCUGUGUUGGCCCUGCGAUGAGGUGGCGACUUGUCCAGGGUGUACACCGCCUUCCGCCCGAUUGUAGCUGAGAUAGGCACCAGCGCCCCCCGUGACCCCAAAGGGGAAUAAGCGGUAGGAAAUGGAUGGAUGGAUGGAUGUUAGUGCACCAGUCGAGGAAAAUAAUCAAACUGUUGUCUGUCUCUCUGUGUUGGCCCUGCGAUGAGGUGGCGACUUGUCCAGGGUGUACCAUGCCUCCCCCCCGAUUGUAGCUGAGAUAGGCACCAGCGCCCCCCGCGACCCCAAAGGGGAAUAAGCGGUAGGAAAUGGAUGGAUGGAUGGAUGUUAGUGCACCAGCCGAGGAAAAUAAUCAAACUGUUGUCUGUCUAUCUGUGUUGGCCCUGCGAUGAGGUGGCGACUUGUCCAGGGUGUACACCGCCUUCCGCCCGAUUGUAGCUGAGAUAGGCACCAGCGACCCCAAAGGGGAAUACGCGGUAGGAAAUGGAUGGAUGGAUGGAUGUUAGUGCACCAGUCGAGGAAAAUAAUCAAACUGUUGUCUGUCUAUCUGUGUUGGCCCUGUGAUGAGGUGGCGACUUGUCCAGGGUGUACCCCGCCUUCCGCCCGAUUGUAGCUGAGAUAAGCACCAACGCCUCCCGCGGCCCCAAAGGGGAAUAAGCGGUAGGAAAUGGAUGGAUGGAUGGAUGUUAGUGCACCAGUCGAGGAAAAUAAUCAAACUGUUGUCUAUCUGUGUUGGCCCUGCGAUGAGGUGGGGACUUGUCCAGGGUGUACACCGCCUUCCACCUGAUUGUAGCUGAGAUAGGCACCAGCGCCCCCCGCGACCCCAAAGGGGAAUAAGCGGUAGGAAAUGGAUGGAUGGAUGGAUGUUAGUGCACCAGUCGAGGAAAAUAAUCAAACUGUUGUCUAUCUGUGUUGGCCCUGCGAUGAGGUGGCGACUUGUCCAGGGUGUACACCGCCCUCCACCUGAUUGUAGCUGAGAUAGGCACCAGCGACCCCAAAGGGGAAUACGCGGUAGGAAAUGGAUGGAUGGAUGGAUGUUAGUGCACCAGUCGAGGAAAAUAAUCAAACUGUUGUCUGUCUCUCUGGUUUUGGCCCUGCGAUGAGGUGGCGACUUGUCCAGGGUGUACACCGCCUUCCGCCCGAUUGUAGCUGAGAUAGGCACCAGCGCCUCCCGCGGCCCCAAAGGGGAAUAAGCGGUGGCGACUUGUCCAGGGUGUACACCGCCUUCCACCUGAUUGUAGCUGAGAUAGGCACCAGCGCCCCCCGCAACCCCAAAGGGGAAUAAGCGGUAGGAAAUGGAUGGAUGGAUGGAUGUUAGUGCACCAGUCGAGGAAAAUAAUCAAACUGUUGUCUGUCUCUCUUUGUUGGCCCUGCGAUGAGGUGGCGACUUGUCCAGGGUGUACACCGCCUUCCACCUGAUUGUAGCUGAGAUAGGCGCCAGUGCCCCCCGCGAACCCAAAAAGGGAAUAAGCGGUAGUAAAUGGAUGGAUGGAUAAAUAACAUACUGUAAUUUGAUUUUGAUAUUAUGUUUUUAUCUUGAUAGAUUGAAAAUUAACACGAAUGAGUUAACUGAUGUACAUUAUCACAUAAUUCAUUCCGAAAGUAUAAAUAACCUCAAAAAAAAGAUAGAUUAUUAUUAAACGCAACAUGUAAGUGUAAAAAAAAAAAUAGCAACAACAUAUUGAUUUGUACAUUUUCUUGUUCUAUUUUAAAACAAAUAAAACAAUAUGAAUUUGUCUUUAUUUUUAUGUUAUCGUGCCGUUAUUUUACCAGUCCGGCCCACUUGGGAGUAGAUAUUUCUC
This is a long non-coding RNA of Nerophis ophidion (straightnose pipefish), 3158 nucleotides long. RefSeq lists it as uncharacterized. The transcript has 2 exons. NCBI's taxonomy places the organism in Eukaryota, Metazoa, Chordata, Actinopteri, Syngnathiformes, Syngnathidae. The record is from RefSeq and is a predicted model, not a curated record.